GACGAACCGUGCGAACGUUAUUCGGAAUCACUGGGCUUAAAGCGCGUGUAGGCGGAAGGGCACGUCCGACGCUGAAAUCCCCCGGCUCAACCGGGGAAGUGGCGCGGAUACGACUCUUCUGGAGGGGCGUAGGGGGACCUGGAACUUCCGGUGGAGCGGUGAAAUGCGUUGAGAUCGGAAGGAACGCCCGUGGCGAAAGCGAGGUCCUGGACGCUUACUGACGCUGAGACGCGAAAGCCAGGGGAGCGAACGGG
RNAcentral lists this ribosomal RNA (254 nucleotides) under uncultured bacterium. RNAcentral's name for it is "partial 16S ribosomal RNA". It matches the Rfam family "Bacterial small subunit ribosomal RNA", at positions 524 to 776 of the family's 1533-position model. The record is from RNAcentral.